UAACAUUUUCAGGAAUAAAGAAAAGCAUCAUCAAAAGAAACAAUCAAAUUCGACCCUUCGUUUCAGCAAUUAUACCAAAUCCCUUUAUCGACUCUGUUCAAAAAAGUUUUCAUCUUUCAACACAUCGACAUGGCUACUGCAUCAGUUGGGUUUAAGUCAAGAGAAGAGCAUCGGAAGAAGCAAGAAUUGGAGGAAGCGCGUAAAGCUGGGCUUGCUCCAGCUGAGAUUGAUGAGGAAGGCAAAGCGAUUAACCCUCACAUACCUCAGUACAUGUCAUCUGCUCCGUGGUAUCUUAAUGCUGAGAAACCUAGCUUGAAACAUCAGAGGAAUUGGAAAUCUGAUCCUAACUAUACGAAGUCGUGGUAUGAUAGAGGAGUGAGAACGUUCAAGGCAGACAAGUAUAGGAAAGGAGCUUGUGAAAACUGUGGGGCUAUGACACAUAGCACAAAGUUGUGUAUUGAAAGGCCAAGAAAGAUAGGAGCAAAGUGGACUAAUAAGCAUAUAUCCCCUGAUGAAAAGAUUGAGUCUUUUAAACUUGAUUAUGAUGGGAAAAGGGAUAGAUGGAACGGUUACGAUAUGAAUCAAUAUGCUCGAGUAAUUGAGAGGUAUGAGGCUAGGGAUGAAGCGAGAAGGAAGUUCUUGAAAGAGCAGCAACUGAAAAAGUUGGAAGAGAAGAGUAAAAAGCAGCGUGUGGAUGAAAAGUCUAGUGAUGAUGAUGAAGAAGAAGAAGAUGCUCUGAAACUUGAUGAAGCCAAAGUUGAUGAGAGCAAGCAAAUGGACUUUGCUAAAGUAGAGAAACGUGUCAGAACAACAGGUGGUGGCAGCACAGGAACUGUUAGGAAUUUGCGUAUACGUGAAGACACUGCAAAAUAUCUUCUGAAUCUUGAUGUCAAUUCUGCGUAUUAUGAUCCCAAAACCCGGUCUAUGCGUGAAGAUCCUCUUCCAAACGCCGAUCCAAAUGAGAAGUUCUAUGCAGGAGACAAUCAAUACAGAAUGACUGGUCAAGCCCUAGACUUCAAGAAGCUCAAUGUUCACGCGUGGGAAUCAUUUGAGAAAGGCCAAGUGGAGAUCAACAUGCAAGCUGCUCCUUCUCAAGCUGAGCUGCUUUUCAAGAAUUACAAAGCAGCAAAGGAAAAACUGAAGAAACAGAUGAAAGAAACCAUUGUGGAGAAAUAUGGAAACGCUGCAUCUGAGGAAGAAAUCCCAAGGGAGAUUUUACUAGGAAAAAGCGAGAGAGAAGUCGAAUAUGACCGUUGUGGAAGAGUUAUCAAAGGAAUGGAAUCAUCGGUACCUAAAAGCAAAUAUGAGGAAGAUGUUUACAUAAACAACCAUACAAGUGUAUGGGGUUCGUGGUGGAGAGAUCACCAAUGGGGAUAUAAAUGUUGUCAGCAAACAAUCAAAAACAGCUAUUGCACUGGAGUUGCAGGAAUCGAGGCGGCUAAGGAAACUGCAGAUCUGAUGAAAAUCAAUAUCGAAAGGGAGUUGCAGGAAUCGAGGCGGCUAAGGAAACUGCAGAUCUGAUGAAAAUCAAUAUCGAAAGAAAAGCAAACUCUUAUGAGAUGUCCGGUCCAGUAACAGAGAAAAGACUCGCGACUUGGGGAAGUGAAACGCAAGAAGGUCUGGUUCUUGACCAGAACAAACUCGCGGAAGCUCUAAAGAAGGAGGAUGAGAGAAAUAGAGAGGAGAAAGAUGAAAGAAAACGCAAAUACAACGUCCAAUGGAAUGAUCAGGUUACACCUGAAGAGAUGGAAGCAUAUAGAAUGAAAAGAAUGCAUCAGGAUGAUCCCAUGAAGAAUCUUUUACACGAAAGUGACUUUGUUUUAUAGUUUGUAGUUACAAAAAUUUGUGACAGCAAAAACCGAAUUGGUUUGUUAUAAAUAACCGAAUAUUACCCUUAA
Camelina sativa (false flax) is the source of this 1898-nucleotide non-coding RNA. NCBI's taxonomy places the organism in Eukaryota, Viridiplantae, Streptophyta, Magnoliopsida, Brassicales, Brassicaceae. The record is from RefSeq and is a predicted model, not a curated record.